Molecule: long non-coding RNA, 1561 nt
Organism: Prinia subflava (tawny-flanked prinia)
Lineage: Eukaryota; Metazoa; Chordata; Aves; Passeriformes; Cisticolidae
Exons: 3
Source: RefSeq, a predicted model, not a curated record
CCCUGUGCGCCUGCAGCUCCCUUCCCUCCCUCCCGAGCCAGCACACAUCUGCCCCACAGCAGGAGCACCACUCCUUCCUCCCGACCCAGCAGCAUGGAGAGCCAGAGAUUUAUGUACUCCGCGAUUUUUAUGUGCUCUCAAGAAGGGCUGCGGAGGGAAAACUCCGCCACUCACAAAAGCCUCCAUCUGCUUUGCCAGCAAACAUCCAGCUCCAGUGAAAUCCAGCUUGUGUCACAUUCCUUUUUCCACUUUCAUAACCACAGCCCUCAACUUUUUAGGUUUUGUUCCUGCCUCUCCCACUUCCCACACACGCUUCCUUCUGCCCACUGGCUGAAGCACAAUGACCAGUGGCAUUUCCUACACACAUUUUUUCAGUUCCACUCUCUCUCUCCAAAGUGAAACAGCAUCAGGAUUCCAUGGGGAUGUCAUUGCUCCUCUGCCAGCACAGACAGGACAUCUCUCCCUGAGCCACACCUGUCUGGGGAGCCUUCCCAACACAAGAACCAGGCACUAAAGGGAAUCAACCCCACGGCCACCCUCCUGCCUUGUUGGCAACAUCCCAACACGGACAGCAGACUGACUUCUCCCACUAAUUAGACAUCCCAGCAGAGUUCAGGGGGUAUCUCAAGCCAGGAAGGCACAAUCCCCGGAAGACCAACCCUCCCCACCUCAUCCUGCCCCUUUCACUGGAAUCUGCAGGCUCUGGGAAUCUGCCUUCCACGACAGAGAGCGAGCUGCUGGAGACAGCAAGAUGUUUCAAUCAGCAGAUCUCUGGUGUCUGAGGCAAACCCAUUCCUUGCUGAUAAGGAAUGAAUACUGUCUGUGUCUGUCCGGCAUCCAGACACUUCUGCAAAGGCAAAGAAAAAGAGGAAAUACGUAAAGAAGGAAAAGCCACCUGCCCCACACAGGUCUCUUAUCUUCACUGUGAAUGUGUGGGUCCCAUUCUGACACCACCAGGCAGGAGCCCUCAGGUGUCAGGCUCUUCUCUCACCUUCCACACUUCAGGAGGCAGCACUGCCUAUUCCAGCACUUCCCACGGACCCACCCCGGGGCACAGCACUAUCACAUUUCACAGUGGUGCAGCUUUUCCAGCCCCAAGCCCUGCCUUGAGCAGUGCCACGAACUGAACAGGCUGCAGGAGUGCCAGGGCUGGGAUCCAGCCCUGUGGCCCGCUCUGAGUGAGGCUCCCCCGUGGCUGGUGCAGCCCCGCUGGCUCCCAGCCCACUGCAGAGAUGUUCCCCCUUCCCACUAAAUGUUCUCCUGUUCCUUCCCAUUCCCUCCUCCCUGCCACCCCUAAUGCAGGACCAGGGGAGCUGACAGGCAGGAUCAGGCACAUGGACAUCUUGUCCAGUGUCCAAUUUGGGGAUGUGCCAGGCUGAAGGACAAGAUUCCUACCGACAGCACAUAUGCAAAUCAGCGCUCCUUCUGCAGUUUUUAAUAGCCCAAAACUGGUUUAACUCUGCAAACACAAAGACCAAAAUCCCUUUCAAAAUGUGUGUUACUGUUCCAAAAAUUCUGGCUACUUUUGAUAUGCAAAUACCAACCCAGCCUCCUUAUAAAA